This is an RNA transcript of Entelurus aequoreus (snake pipefish), 3762 nucleotides long. It is a transcript of the gene named tRNA methyltransferase 13 homolog, with no coding region annotated. The record is from RefSeq and is a predicted model, not a curated record. The transcript is spliced from 13 exons. Lineage: Eukaryota; Metazoa; Chordata; Actinopteri; Syngnathiformes; Syngnathidae.
AUCAGUGAGCACCUGAAUGCAGCAUAGAGCAUAUCGACUCGGCCAACAUGGCGGCGCCCGAAAGUGGCAAAUGUGGCUUUUUCGUGGAGAAAAAGAAACGCUUUUGUAAAAUGGUCGUUGCCAAAGGUAAAAGGUUCUGUGGAGAACAUGCAACCAUGGAAGAAGGCGGCAGCAGCAGGAGGAUUCUUUGCCCUCUGGACCCCAAACACACGGUCAGUGAAGACAAACUGGACAAACACUUGAAGAAAUGUAACUCCAGAGUCAAACCAAAGCCGCAAUAUUAUGUGGAGAACAUCAACGCUGGCUCAGCUAACCAAGACCACGAUGGCGCCCAAGGGGUGAGUCUGUGUGAACAAACCACGACUCAGUUACGACACCUGCUGGACAAAUUGAAGACUGCUACAAAAGCUCUCGACUGUCAGCUGGAGGAGAGCUUCCUGUCUCAUCCCGUCUUUCAAGAGGAACUUAAUAACCCCAAAAAUGGAGACUCCGCCCACAAGCACCUGAAGCAGCAGGCUUCCAUCGUAGCACACCUGGAGACGCUGGGCUUGCUGGGACGCGGGCGGUGCUUCGUGGAGUUCGGAGCAGGUCGAGGGAAACUCUCCCACUGGAUCCACGAAGCCCUGAAAACCACAGAGCAGCCGGCGGACUUGGACGACCUGCAGCUGCUUCUGGUGGAAAGAAGCAGCACCCGCUUUAAGGUGGAUGGGAAGCAUCAGGACGCCGGCGUGGAGUUUGCCAGGCUGCAGAUCGACAUCCAGCACCUGGAUCUGAGUAAAGUGCCGCUGCUGGAACGCCGGUUGCCGCUGGUCGGAGUGGGGAAACAUUUAUGUGGCGCGGCGACAGAUCUCGCUCUUCGCUGCUUGCUGGAAACACCGGCGCCUCAACGCGGACCGCCAAGGAAGCGCCUCAAAACGUCAGACGAGAGCCCCGGUCCCUGCGCGUCCCCCGGUCCUGCCGCAGUGCUGGGCCUGGCGGUGGCGCUGUGCUGUCACCACCGCUGCGAGUGGCGCCACUACGUGGGUCAGCAGUUCUUUUCGGACCUGGGCCUGGGUCCCGCGGAGUUUUCCGGGUUCUGCCGCAUGUCCAGCUGGGCCACGUGCGGCCUUCGAGCCGCCGAUCGGAGCGCGGACGAAGAACACGAGCCGAUAGAAGAGACAGACGAGGCGCUCGGGUUUCUGUCGCCGGCCGAGCGCGAGCAGGUGGGACGCCGCUGCAAACUUCUGAUCGACAGCGGGAGAAUCCACUUCCUGCGCAGCCGAGGAUUCCACGGCCGACUCACUUGUUACGUCGGCAGUCACCUGACCCUGGAGAAUGUCCUGCUGACGGCCACGCCCUCCCAUGUUUGACUUUGUCGCUAAUAAAACCUCAUUUUGACGCCACUCAGCAGGCGACUCUGUGCACGUUGAGCGCGGCGUGCGCUCUCUUCCGGGCCUCACGUAUGUACGACAGCAUGAAGUCUCGCCCGAACAUCUCGCGGUCGUCGUCGUCCUCCUGCUCCUCCUCCUCGGGCGCCGUUGUCACGGAUAUAUUGACUUCCAGCGUCAGCGGAUUGUCCCGGAAGUUGACAAACCUGCGAGAAGAUCCACGUAAGGAGCAUCCUUGCUGUUGUCCAGACGUGGACAGGAAGUACUUACCUGAGGUUGGACAUGUCCUCCAUCAUGGGGGGGAUGUCGCUCAGUCUGUUGCUGCUCAGAACCAGCGUGUCCAAGCUGGGCAUCCUGCUGAUGUUCUCUGGAAGUUUCUCCAGCUGGUUUCGCUGCAGCCACAAGGCGUGCAGGUUCUCCAUCCUGACCACAGCCAGCGCUGGGUUUUGAAUGGCGGACGGGGGACGAGGAGGCGGGGCCUUUACCUACCUGUUGAUGUCUUCGGGUAAGGAGGUCAGGCAGUUUCCCGCCAUGUCGAGCCACUCCAGCGCCGGCAUGCUGAGCAAGCACGGCGGCACCAGGCUGAAGAGGUUCAUGGACAAGUCCAGAUGCUGCAGACACCUCAGCUUGCUCAACUGGAAACGCGACAAGAAACAGAAACAAAUUCCGGUUCUGGUCAAGCAUCCUUGAGGGAUUGGAUUAUAGAACCAGUCCAAGGGCCUAUAAAAGAUCUACACAAGGGAGAAGAAAAACCUUUCUACCUGGUCCGGAAGCUGGUGGAGGUCUCGGUUCAUUGCCAGUUCCAACCUCUCCAGACUCUCACAGUUGCCGAGCUCCUCCGGAACAAACUGGACUCGGUUGUAGCUGAGCAGCAGUUCUUUGAGCCGGUGACCCCAUUCCGAGACAGAUCCAGGACCAGAAGGUUCUGGAAGGAAGAGAUGAAGCCGGGGAUCUUCUGCAGGCCGCAGCGGUGAAUGUGCCACUCCUGCACCUGACUCAGCUGGACCAGGCAGCCCGGCAGCGACUGGACCACAACAUUGCAACGUCAGCCGCGCGCUCAGCGGGUCAAAGGUCGAGGGCCGCGACGUCACCUUACGCUCCUCGUGCUCGAUGCGCAGAACCAGUCGGCCAUCUUCAGUCGUCAGUUUCUGUUUGAGCUGAGCCAGAGUCUCCCGCUCCUCCCAAACGCCGAUGCUCAACCUGGACGGGGGUCGGGAAGCGUGUUUGUCAGUACUACGGACCGCCGGGCUAACGUAACUUUUGUGGUGAAGUGAAGAUGCAGUCCAACCUGCUGCUGCGCUGCUUCCUGCUCUGCUUCUCCCGCGUCUCCCGGACGUUCUGGAUCUUGGUCUCCCACAACGCUUUCAUGGAACUGACCGAGCCGCAUACCACAAUGGCCGCCAUGACAAGUGUCUACCUUGUGAUGUCACAGCGUACAGGACGACCCCUGACCUCCGGGCUCCUGUCAUCAAGCGUCUGGUCCCAUCGUCAAACGCCAGCUGUCUGAACACCGCAGAGGAGCCUCUUGUCAUCGCCGCCAUCUUUUUACUGUGACGUAGCAGCCGCACGCCCCGCCAGCAGCCAAUCAACUCGCAGUGACGUCAUUGCAGACUGAACGGAGCAGAAGGAAAGUUGAUUUAAUUUUUUUAUUUAUUUUGAUUAUUAUUAUUUCUCGAGGUUAUAAAUAAAGGUUUAUAGAAUUUUAAAUAAAAAUAAAAGGAAAGUUGAUUUAAUUUACACAGUAUGAACAAACAUUUUAAAAGGAAUUUUACCCCGAACUGGACUUGAUUGAUACAAGCGGUAGAAAUGGAUGGAUGGCUAAGUUUUAUAUUCAUAAAUGUAAGUUUCUUAAUACCCGACCUGCUUUUUGUGCCUUUAAAAAAGAAUUACAACUUUACGUUAAAACACUCUCUACCUCUAACAAUCAAAAAGCUGUGAAAACAAUGAUGCUGUGUUCCAAAUUAAAAUUAUUUACUGAACUUGUAUGAGCCUAUGGCUUUGCACUUUGUUAUAUACAUAUGUACAUAUAUAUAUUUUGCAUUCUAUUUUUGUUACUUUAUUGAGUUUAAAACCCCCUGGCGCUGAUUUGUACUGUUUUUGUACUUAUUUUGAUCAUUAUUUCUCAACUGUUUGUAAAUGUUGCAAUUUAUAAAUAAAGGUUUAUACAAUUCCAAAAAAAGAAAGGAAAGUUGAUUUAAUUUACACAGUAUGAACAAAAAUUUUCAAAUUAAUUUGACCUUUGCAACAUUAUACUAUUGGCUAAGUUUUAUAUUCAUAAAUGUAAGUUCCUCAAUACCCGACCUGCUUUUUGUGCCUAUAUAUAUAUAUACAUAUGUAUUUUUUGCAUUCUAUUUUAGUUACUUUAUUGAGUUUACAACCCCCUGGUGCUGAUUUG